Molecule: non-coding RNA, 3930 nt
Organism: Vicugna pacos (alpaca)
Lineage: Eukaryota; Metazoa; Chordata; Mammalia; Artiodactyla; Camelidae
Source: RefSeq, a predicted model, not a curated record
UGGAGAGAGACCACACUGGAAUAAACAAGACGCUGAACUCAGGGGAGCCUGGGAGAGCCCUGGGUGGCUGGGAAGAGGGUCGUGUACUACAGCACUCAGGGCAUAGGGGGAAGCACCUGUCAAUUAUGGGAAUGACAUAUAAACAAUUGUUUAUAAAAAACUUUUGGAAAGUAAUUCGGACAAAUUGUCUUAAAAGGAAAUAGAUGCUAUGUGGGAUGAUGUUAAAGAAGUUAGCUGAGUGCUAAUAUACUAAAUAGUAGUGUAGUUAUCUAGUUUGGAGCUUUAUCUUUUUUAAGAUGUAAACCCACAGGCCCUGCUAAAAGGAUGGGUUUAGGCAGUCAGGUUUGUACUAUGGAACCCACACACCCCUGUCCCCCCAAGAUUGCACUAAGGAUGUGGAAACCGGAUCUAAGCUGAAGUAAUUAGAUUUUCUUAGUUUCUUAAUGACCCCAAAAUGAUGGUCCAUUGAUGUUGAGUUUGGUCCAGUGCCCCAGCUGGGUUUGGCUUCGAAGGGUAGAAAGCAAAAAUUAUAAUGCCUCCACAAGAUGGAAACUCCCUCUUCUCUCACAUAAGCGGAGGCAAUCCAGGGCUCCCAUGGCAAGCUGUUUCAUUGCCAUCAAGGACCCAGGCUUCUUCUGUCCUGCUGCUCUCCCGUCUUUCAAUGAGUGCUUCUAAGCAGUGGUGUGCUGGUAAACUCAUCCUCGGAGCGGGGACCGGAGGGCUGAUUUGUAGCAUUUGCCUGAUGCCUAUGUUGGAAAUAUUCCCUGAAUGGCCCAUUUCAAGCUACCAGUGGUUUAAUAACCAGUUUGCAAAGUUACCGAAUGUUCAGCAUUCUUCUCUUCUGAGCCCAUGAGCCAGCUCUAGCAUACGCCUGCUUCUUCCUCAUGGUCCAGAAUGGCUGCCCCAUCUCCAGACAUCAGAACUGCAUUGCAACCAGUAGAAUGGAGGAAAUCAAAAGGGAAGCAAACCUCCUCCUUUUUAAGGAUAUCUUCCAGAAGUUGUGCACAGCCCUUCUGCUUAAAUCCCAUGGGACAGAACUUAAUCAUAUGACCACAUUUACUUGGGAAAGGUAUGUUUUAUUCUGCGGUUCCAUGUACUCAGCUGGAAUUUGGGUGUUCUGUUACUAAAGAAGAAGAGGGUAAUAAAUUGGGGGGAGAAUGAGUCUCUCACUAAUGGUAACACCUGGUUCCACAUAAAUGUCUAAGUUAAUGAGGAGACAGAAGCCCAUGUUAAAAACUUCAUUUUCAGAGUGAGAGGGAGUGGAUUACAGCCAGCAUGAUCCACGUAGCUUCAGAGAGGGAGAAAAUAGCUGCUUAUUAUUUAGAUUUUAGGGUAAUCAGUGAUAAUACCCCUUUCCCUCCUGAGUUGGAAUCAGUGGAGAGGCAGAUACAUAAGGCAGAAGGAGAUAAAAGUGUCAACUUUAUUACUGAUUAAAGAGUUUGGAGAACUUUGACCCUGCAGCAGCAAAGGGCUCACUAACUUCACCCCCAAAAUAAACUUCUGCACCUGUCCAAGCAGAGUUGAAAAACUACAGUGCUGCCACCCUCCUUGCCCUCAUUUCUCCCUGCCAUAGGCACCUGCCCUUGACUGUGCCCUGUAGGAGCCCCCUCCUCCCCAAAAAGAGCAAGGGGCUACCCUAAGCAUGUACUUUCUUCUCCCAGAUUCACCCUUCAGAAAGUUAAGAGUGAUUGAGGAGUAGGGAGAGAGGCCAGGAAGUGCCCAUCCAUAUUAAAACAGGAGGAAUAAGUUCUCCUGUCUAACACUUGAGCUCUUUCAGACCCGCGGAGGUUUAGCUAAUCAUCCUGCAGUUGGGUUAUGUGAAAUCCCUCUGAAUCCUCACUGCUAUCUGUGUUUACUUAAACGGGCACAGAUGGUUUCUCUUCCAACACAAUGGUCCCUAAUGAAAAAGUAUAAUGAAGGGCUAUCUUGGGGGCAGACACUGAAUGCUGUAGGAGUUCCCAAGAACAUUUAUAAGAGAGGGUUGGAGCAGACAAAGGAUGUUUCCUGGAAGUGGUAAAACUUGAACACGUUCUUAAAGUCUGGGCAGGGUUUUUAAUAGGCUGAGGGAAGGGAGGUGUUUCAAUCAAGGGGAAUUUGAUGGAGGAAACAAGAAUCGGGGAGUGGACAUGGCACGGUCAAGACGCGGGGAGGAGACCAUAAAGGUUCUCGCUGUGGUACCUGCUGGAGAGCAGUGGGCAGUGGAGAUGGAAUUAGAAAGAAGAGAUCUUGGGGACGCUGUCUGAGCAGCCUAUCAGAGGAGCAGUGGAUGGAGAUGGAAAUUUGCAGCCAUUGAAGAAAAACAAAAUACGGUAUUUUUCACAGAUUAUUCUGGAGGAAGAAUGACUCCUUGAACAUUUCACGUGCAUGGACCAACAGAUCCCCUUGUUUUUGGUUUAAUCCAGUUAAAUAGUCCUAAUAAAUAGCCCUGACUAAUACCUUCCACUUAUAGGUCAUGAGGAAGUGACUCUCAGCCUUUUGUGUCCAUUAGAAUAACCUGGAAGACUUGUGAACACACAGAUUGCUCGAUCCCACCCCCAAGUUUCUGAUGCAGUAGCUCUGGGUUGGGGCUCAAGGAUUCUCACUUUUGGAAGGUCCUAGGUGCUGCUGCUACCGCUGCUGGUCCAGGAAGCACACUUUGAGAACUGCUAGGAUGCAGGCUGGCCUGGGAUGCCUCCUGUCUGGUUUUGAAUGAAUGAAUGAACGCAUGAGAAUGAAUUCCCUAAACCAUAACAUGAGAGCUUAGAUGAGAUGAUCUCUGAGGUCUUUUUGAGUCUAUGCUUCUGCUAAACCACAGGUGACCCCAUGCAUAUUUUUCUCACAUAAUAAAAACUUCAAUGUUUACUGAAAUCCCCUGUGUGUGUAUUAAUUUUUCAUAUUCCAUGAGGGCUGCUAGCCUGACAUAGGUGGGAAUCUAAAGGCAUGUGACUGGACUCGAGAUGCUUUCUCAAGAGAGAAGACCCCCUUAACAUGGGCCUUCCACAUUUCACACUCAAGAAAAGAAAAAAGAAAAACAAAAGUAGCAGCUAUUUCAAAUAAUGUCCACUCAACUUUAGCAGGUAAAAAGAGAAGGGAUGAGCUCUUUUCUGUAAAGGAAAAGUGCAUUUGACCCAAGACCUGAAGCUUUGCAGAGCACUCAUUCAAACUGUUAAAAAUAUUCAGCCUUAAGAAAAUGUUGACCUGAUUCAGAACUGUCCAAAGACAAUCAUCUGGACGUUGGGCCCACUGGGUCAGAGGCUUCCUAGCUCAAACUCAGCGCAGAGGACCGUAGCCAGCUGAUCAGCCCCAGAUGCCGGACAAUUAGUCGAGCUAUGCAGCACCACAGCUCUCCCUGCUCUUCGUGGCUGAGAGAAGGUGGACUGAGCAGGGACAGCUGCGGGCAGUCACCUAGUGGACCCUUCCAGACUAGAGGUUUCCUGGGUUUCACCGGGAAGGAUCUUCCUGUGCAGCUCCCCAUCCAGGGGAUGAGGAAGAGAGGUGAUGUGUCCAAGGCAACCGGAUGACAGGGACAUGCAGCCCUUAGCAGCGGCGGCAAGAUUCUGAGGCAUCAGCAGAGCAUUGAAGUUUCUUCUCUUUUUCAAGAGGCUGGGCUCCUCAGGCUCAGAUUCUGAGAUGAAGGAGUUUGAUCGGGGAGUGCUCGUGGGAACAACACCUGUGGAGGGGUGAGGACUGCAGAGGGAGCAGGUGAACGGCAGCACAGCUGCAGAAGCCUUGUCAACCAGCCUUCUGGGCUUGGACAGCACAGGAGUGAGAAGUAGCUCAGACCACGGAGUGUGGGCUGCCCCCGGGAGGAGGCAUAACCCCAGACAGAUGUACUGGCUGCCCCACAGGUCUGUGACAUGGAAGCUGUGUGUGGAGGACGGCAGAAGACAGAGGUAGAGGGUAGGUUCCUUGGGAUGGACAGAGACCCCAUGUCAGCUUUGGACUGUUUGC